GUGGUCUGGAGAACGGCUUCCGGUGUGGUUGAACCCGGUACCCGGCAGGCCCGACCUUGACCUAGAGUAAACCCCCCGGGCGCUUUCCCUGGGCGGUGGAUUUGCAGUAACAGGUGUGAGCACUCUAGCAGCAGUUUGGUGAUCAUGUAUGGUACUGCAAACAGGA
This is a non-coding RNA of Perognathus longimembris pacificus (Pacific pocket mouse), 166 nucleotides long. RefSeq annotates it as small Cajal body-specific RNA 16. The record is from RefSeq and is a predicted model, not a curated record. The transcript has a single exon. NCBI's taxonomy places the organism in Eukaryota, Metazoa, Chordata, Mammalia, Rodentia, Heteromyidae.